This 733-nucleotide ribosomal RNA is filed under the name Tilletiopsis sp. OVB10-013. RNAcentral's name for it is "eukaryotic LSU rRNA". The stretch from base 246 to 399 matches the Rfam family "5.8S ribosomal RNA". The record is from RNAcentral. Lineage: Eukaryota; Fungi; Basidiomycota; Exobasidiomycetes; Entylomatales.
GGAAGUAAAAGUCGUAACAAGGUUUCUGUAGGUGAACCUGCAGAAGGAUCAUUAUUGAAUAAUAGGGCUUCCCAUUCUUUGGGGCCCGAACCUCACAUAAUUUCCACACACUUGUGAAUCGUUGGAGCAUGGAAGGAGAGACUCUCUCGAGUCUCUGUGAAAAUGCUCUGGCACCCAUUUAUUAUUACAAACUCUGAGUUAAUGGAUGUAGUUGUAAACUUGUCUUUUGACAGAAACAAAAAUACAACUUUCAACAACGGAUCUCUUGGUUCUCCCAUCGAUGAAGAACGCAGCGAAACGCGAUAGUUAAUGUGAAUUGCAGAAUUCAGUGAAUCAUCGAGUCUUUGAACGCAUCUUGCGCUCCUUGGUAUUCCGAGGAGCAUGCCUGUUUGAGUGUCAUGAAUCCCUCAGCCCCCAAUGCUUUUCGUUAAGUGUUGGCUUGGGUCUGGAUUUGGGCGAUUGCCAGAGAGCUUUUUCAAGUUCCUGGCUCGCCUCAAAGAGAUUAGCUGGACCCCAUUCCGAGCUGGUUCAACUCGACGUGAUAAUUUCAUUCGUCGAGGUAUGGUUCUUCUCCCUUAAACAAGGAGUGGAUCCAGCCAGGUGUAGGAAUCCGGUCUGCUUCCAACUUCUGUCUGAAGUCCAAUUUAUUGGGCAUGCAGCAGACUUUUUAAUGCUCUGGCCUCAAAUCAGGUAGGAUUACCCGCUGAACUUAAGCAUAUCAAUAAGCGGAGGA